GACCGGGUACGCAAACUGGCAUAGCGGCGAGGUCGAGAGCCUCGUGCCUGUGGGUUCGACUCCCACCUCGGUCA
Molecule: transfer RNA, 74 nt
Filed under: Planctomycetaceae bacterium
Lineage: Bacteria; Pseudomonadati; Planctomycetota; Planctomycetia; Planctomycetales; Planctomycetaceae
Description: tRNA-Leu
Rfam family: tRNA
About the family: Transfer RNA (tRNA) molecules are approximately 80 nucleotides in length. Their secondary structure includes four short double-helical elements and three loops (D, anti-codon, and T loops).
Source: RNAcentral